CGGGGUGCAGCAGGCGCGAAACCUCUGCAAUAGGCGAAAGCUUGACAGGGUUACUCUGAGUGAUUUCCGUUAAGGAAAUCUUUUGGCACCUCUAAAAAUGGUGCAGAAUAAGGGGUGGGCAAGUCUGGUGUCAGCCGCCGCGGUAAUACCAGCACCCCGAGUGGUCGGGACGUUUAUUGGGCCUAAAGCAUCCGUAGCCGGUUCUACAAGUCUUCCGUUAAAUCCAACUGCUUAACAGGUGGGCUGCGGAAGAUACUAUAGAUCUAGGAGGCGGGAGAGGCAAGCGGUACUCGAUGGGUAGGGGUAAAAUCCUUUGAUCCAUUGAAGACCACCAGUGGCGAAGGCGGCUUGCCAGAACGCGCUCGACGGUGAGGGAUGAAAGCUGGGGGAGCAAACCGGAUUAGAUACCCGGGUAGUCCCAGCUGUAAACGAUGCAGACUCGGUGAUGAGUUGGCUAUAUGCCAUCUCAGUGCCGCAGGGAAGCCGUUAAGUUUGCCGCCUGGGGAGUACGGUCGCAAGACUGAAACUUAAAGGAAUUGGCGGGGGAG
RNAcentral lists this ribosomal RNA (548 nucleotides) under uncultured archaeon. Its description in RNAcentral is "bacterial SSU rRNA". It matches the Rfam family "Archaeal small subunit ribosomal RNA", at positions 326 to 876 of the family's 1478-position model. The record is from RNAcentral.